This 468-nucleotide ribosomal RNA is filed under the name uncultured bacterium. RNAcentral's name for it is "partial 16S ribosomal RNA". It matches the Rfam family "Bacterial small subunit ribosomal RNA", at positions 28 to 507 of the family's 1533-position model. The record is from RNAcentral.
GACGAACGCUGGCGGCGUGCUUAACACAUGCAAGUCGAACGGGAAGUCCUUGUUUUUGUGGCGUGCUCGAGUGGCGAACGUGUGAGUAACACGUUAGUAACCUGCCCUUGACUGUGGGAUAACGUCAGUAAACUGUGGCUAAUACCGGAUAGGAGCUCCUGCUGCAUGGUGGGGGUUGGAAAGUUUUGGCGGUUUUGGAUGGACUCUCGGCUUAUCAGCUUGUGGUUGGGGAAGUGACUUAGCAGGGAUUUGACGGGUAGCAGGCGUGAGCGGGGGACCGGCAGCAAUGGGGGGGAGAUGACACGCAGAACACUCCGGGAGGAAGCAGUGGGGAAUAAUGCACAAUGGGCGGCAGAAUGAUGCAGGAGCGACGCGUGCGGGAUGAAGGCCUUCGAGUUGUAAACCGCUUUCGCCCGUAAAGAAGAGUGAGUGACGGUAAUGGGUAAAGAAGCACCGGCUAACUACGUG